UACGGAGGGAGCAAGCGUUAUCCGGAAUCACUGGGUGUAAAGGGUGCGUAGGCGGCUUGGUAAGUCAGCGGUGAAAACCCGCAGCUUAACUGCGGACCUGCCGUUGAUACUGCCCAGCUUGAAAGAGGUUGAGGUCAGCGGAACGUGUCAUGUAGCGGUGAAAUGCAUAGAUAUCAGACAGAACACCAAUUGCGAAGGCAGCUGGCUGGGCCGACUUUGACGCUGAGGCACGAAAGCGUGGGGAGCGAACAGG
Molecule: ribosomal RNA, 253 nt
Filed under: uncultured bacterium
Lineage: Bacteria
Description: partial 16S ribosomal RNA
Rfam family: Bacterial small subunit ribosomal RNA
Source: RNAcentral